Molecule: ribosomal RNA, 467 nt
Filed under: uncultured bacterium
Lineage: Bacteria
Description: partial 16S ribosomal RNA
Rfam family: Bacterial small subunit ribosomal RNA
Source: RNAcentral
GAUGAACGCUGGCGGCGUGCUUAACACAUGCAAGUCGAACGGAAAGGCCCAAGCUUGCUUGGGUACUCGAGUGGCGAACGGGUGAGUAACACGUGGGUGAUCUGCCCUGCACUUCGGGAUAAGCCUGGGAAACUGGGUCUAAUACCGGAUAGGACCACAUGUUGGAUGGUGUGGUGGAGAGAGUUUCGGGGUGGGAUGAGCACGCGGCGUAUCAGCUUGUUGUUGGGGUGAUGGCGCACCAAGGCGUCGACGGGUGGCCGCUGUGUGAGGGUGUGCGGCGACACAGUGGCUCAGAGACGGGCCAGAGUCUUACGCGGGGGAGAAGUGGGGAAUAUUGCACAAUGGGCGCAGGCCUGUUGCAGCGACGCCGCGUGGGGGAUGACGGCGUUCGGGUUGUAAACACCUUUCGCUAGGGACAAGGCGUUUUUGUGACGGUACCUGGAGAAGAAGCACCGGCUAACUACGUG